This 73-nucleotide transfer RNA is filed under the name Aplysia californica (California sea hare). RNAcentral describes it as "tRNA-Val (AAC) (tRNA-Val-AAC-7-1)". It matches the Rfam family "tRNA". From Rfam's summary of the family: Transfer RNA (tRNA) molecules are approximately 80 nucleotides in length. Their secondary structure includes four short double-helical elements and three loops (D, anti-codon, and T loops). The record is from RNAcentral. Lineage: Eukaryota; Metazoa; Mollusca; Gastropoda; Aplysiida; Aplysiidae.
GUUUCCGUAGUGUAGAGGUUAUCACAUCCGCCUAACACGCGGAAUGUCCUGGGUUCGAGCCCAAGCGGAAACU